This 508-nucleotide ribosomal RNA is filed under the name uncultured bacterium. RNAcentral describes it as "partial 16S ribosomal RNA". It matches the Rfam family "Bacterial small subunit ribosomal RNA", at positions 28 to 507 of the family's 1533-position model. The record is from RNAcentral.
GACGAACGCUGGCGGCGUGCCUAAUACAUGCAAGUCGAACGCUUCUUUCCUCCCGAGUGCUUGCACUCAAUUGGAAAGAGGAGUGGCGGACGGGUGAGUAACACGUGGGUAACCUACCCAUCAGAGGGGGAUAACACUUGGAAACAGGUGCUAAUACCGCAUAACAGUUUAUGCCGCAUGGCAUAAGAGUGAAAGGCGCUUUCGGGUGUCGCUGAUGGAUGGACCCGCGGUGCAUUAGCUAGUUGGUGAGGUAACGGCUCACCAAGGCCACGAUGCAUAGCCGACCUGAGAGGGUGAUCGGCCACACUGGGACUGAGACACGGCCCAGACUCCUACGGGAGGCAGCAGUAGGGAAUCUUCGGCAAAGGACGAAAGUCUGACCGAACAACGCCGCGUGAGUGAAGAAGGUUUUCGGAUCGUAAAACUCUGUUGUUAGAGAAGAACAAGGACGUUAGUAACUGAACGUCCCCUGACGGUAUCUAACCAGAAAGCCACGGCUAACUACGUG